CAACGACUAUAAUUUUGAUGCUUGUGAUGUUACUCUGAGUGUAUAUCCACACCGGCCAAGCUUGGAUAUACACUCAGUGUAACAUCACAAGCAUCAUAUUCACCU
Paramuricea clavata is the source of this 105-nucleotide non-coding RNA. The record is from the annotation of a GenBank genome assembly. NCBI's taxonomy places the organism in Eukaryota, Metazoa, Cnidaria, Anthozoa, Malacalcyonacea, Plexauridae.